Taeniopygia guttata (zebra finch) is the source of this 133-nucleotide small nucleolar RNA. Ensembl annotates it as small nucleolar RNA SNORA5. NCBI's taxonomy places the organism in Eukaryota, Metazoa, Chordata, Aves, Passeriformes, Estrildidae. The record is from Ensembl.
CGCAGCCCAGUCAAAUUCGGUCCCCGUGCCCCCACGGCGGGGACCGGCCACCGGCUGCCACAGUGACCUCCGUGGGCACGAGCCCCGGGUCCCCUCCCGUGGGGCCGGGGGGCAAAUCCCACUGGAGACACGG